UUCCGUUCCGCACGACAAGUUCGUCCCCGUCCCCACGCACGGACGAAUCCAAUCUCAAUCCCCUCGCAUAGCCGCCGCCGCCGCCACCCUCCUCUCGCUCCUGCCGCAGGGAUCCGGCCGGCCACCAGUACUGCAGGCCCUCCACCGCGGCGCGCCGAGUCGGCGGAAGCCUCCGCUUCCCAGGCGCCCCCUAACCUGCCGCCGGCGACAGAGGAUCGAUCUCUCCACCGUACGCCGGAAACCAUACUGCCUCAGUCUGCGCAGUUCCCUCCUGUUUACUCGAGCGGUUUCCCCUCCGACGUCCAUCGCCCGUACUACCUCGCCGCCGGCGAGCUUCCCGCCGACUACAGGUAUGUGAAAAGUCAAGGUGACAAACAACUGUGGUAUAAGAAUGCUGCACAUUUGACAUCGGAUUGUGCACCUGAGGCUGGUUAUUCAAGUGAAUAAAAAAAGGACAUGGCUUGGAAGAGUGACAAAACAAUAAAUUCGGCAAUAAUAUCUAUCCCAGUAACUCCCAGAAGGGAAGUCUUAUAGGUGGUGCUAAGCUAAAUGAGAGCAUACCAGUACGCGGAUUUCUCUUUGACCCUGCACAUGCAUUACUUUUGAUAUUAAGGGAUCUGUGUGCUGGAAUAUAGCAGACCUUUAUUACAAUCGUUUUAUGCACACUAUAGAUUUUUUACUCAUUAACAAUUUAUUCUUCUUGUCUGGUGUUCGAACCAUCGGAUUGGUGUGUGUACUGGACAGUUGCCAGCCACCGUCGUUUACCUCCAACUCACCGGCCAGCCGCCAUCAUCUACCUCGUGUCUUAUUGGAUCGGACAGCCGCCAUCGUCUACCUCCCGCCUCGCUAGAAUUAUCAGGCGUGUGCCGAAACCAAUUUGACUUAAUGCGAAAAUGGAACAUAUAUCAAUCUUGUAAUGGAUGUUCGGGAUGCUUUUGAGGGAAAUGAUUUGGUGAAAUAUUGAUUGCGAGGGUUUGGAACCAAGUGACAGCAAAAAAAAUGAAGCAAAGCUGAAGGAUCUUGUUCCUUGUGUUCUCCUGUCAUUUGACAAUGAGUAGAUAUUAAUCUACAGAGGCAGUGAAUGGAACUCUAGAUACUCAGCCUCCCACUAUCACUCCAAAAGUUCAAAAGAAUAAUCUGGCAGUGUCAACUGCUUUGAGUAACUCAGGAUGGGUGGUUAGAAGAGCUGGAAGGGAAGGCGCAAGAACAUGAUAAGAAGGAUGUUGCACAACAAGAGAAGAUAAAGGAGCUCUAGAUUGUUGUAGAGAAGAUUAUCAGUUUUUACUGGCGGCCGUUAGAAGCUGUAUAGAAGAUGAUGCAUUUUUAUUAGAUUCAAGUGAGAUUAUUCAGAUUUGCAUAAAAAAGUUGUAUAGAAGUUGAUGCAUUUUUAUUAGAUUCAAGUGAGAUUAUUCAGAUUUGCAUAAUCAGUGCCGAGGAUCGUGCAAAGCUAAAUUAUCUUUGUUGUUGCUGCUUAUCCUUGAGGAAGCUUGUGGUUAAGAACUGGACUCAGCUCCAAGGACUAGGGGGCAACCUUUUCUUUGCUUGGUUAUCAGUUGAUUAUUUCACUAUAUAUUUUGUUCAGUUUAGCUAUAAGCAUCAGACCUUAACAGGAAAUUCAAUUUGAUUUA
Molecule: long non-coding RNA, 1628 nt
Organism: Triticum aestivum (bread wheat)
Lineage: Eukaryota; Viridiplantae; Streptophyta; Magnoliopsida; Poales; Poaceae
Exons: 6
Source: RefSeq, a predicted model, not a curated record